This 250-nucleotide ribosomal RNA is filed under the name uncultured bacterium. RNAcentral describes it as "partial 16S ribosomal RNA". It matches the Rfam family "Bacterial small subunit ribosomal RNA", at positions 524 to 773 of the family's 1533-position model. The record is from RNAcentral.
UACGGGGGGUCCAAGCGUUGUUCGGAAUCACUGGGCGUAAAGCGCAUGUAGGUGGCUUUUCAAGUCAACUGUGAAAGCCCAGGGCCUAACCCUGGAAGUGCAGUUGAUACUGCUAAGCUUGAGUACGAGAGAGGAUAGUGGAAUUUCUGGUGUAGUGGUGAAAUACGUAGAUAUCAGAAGGAACAUCGGUGGCGAAGGCGGCUAUCUGGCUCGAUACUGACACUGAGAUGCGAAAGCGUGGGGAUCAAAC